This 31-nucleotide non-coding RNA is filed under the name Mus musculus (house mouse). Lineage: Eukaryota; Metazoa; Chordata; Mammalia; Rodentia; Muridae. The record is from RNAcentral.
UUCUGUCAGAAGGACUAGUGUCAUUGAGUUU